This is a non-coding RNA of Pantherophis guttatus, 1385 nucleotides long. Lineage: Eukaryota; Metazoa; Chordata; Lepidosauria; Squamata; Colubridae. The record is from RefSeq and is a predicted model, not a curated record.
GUGACCAGACGUCCCGCUUUUGGCGGGACAGUCCCGCUUUUGAGCAAUUUGUCCCGCGUCCCGCGGCGUUUCAAAAAAGUCCCGAUUUUUCUUGAGCCCCAGCUGAUGGCUAGAAGAAAAAAAAACUGUUUAAACUCUUUCCCGGGGCUUCAAAGGGCCGCCCUACAGGCAAUCAGUGUAAAGCAGUUUUUUUUCCCCCUAGCUAAGCUUCAGAAACGAAACCGAAACCAGGGUCUUUGGUGCAGCGUGACAAAAUGAGGCAGAGAGAGAUUUAUUUUUAUUUUUAUUUUUCCUCCCCAAAAAAGAGAUUAUUUCACAGCAUAGUUAGAAGAGUAGCAGGGAUGCUCAGCAGCAGGAUGCUGUAAACAUCAGUCGUGUUGGAUAUUAGUAGGUCUUUGAAAGAAACAUUCUUCAGAGGGAAAGGACACAGUGAAAUCUAAUACUCUCAUUUAUGACUGUCGAUGGAACACUCAAAACAUUAUUAAGCUGUUCAGUAUAAACUGUGGGAGGUGUUGGUUUUCUGUGGACUUAAUUCCACCGAUUUGCUUGUUCUCCAGCAUUCCAUUAUUGAGUAAUUUGGAGAUAAUGUGUCAUAUUGGGAAUCAAUGCUCUGUUUUCAUGUACUAAUAGCAUUGUAGCAAUUGUCCAGGAAGCAGGGGGGGGGAAAUACUUUGACUACUGACAAUAAACAUUUUCAUAAAUAGUGGGCUGUGGCCAUCUACCAUUUUAUUUUCUAAGAAGGUCUGUGGGGUCUAUAAACUUUGUGGAGGUGAAGCUGAUGUGCUGGAAGUUUGUUUUCCAGUACGCCAUCUUCCUUUUAAAUCCUGUAUGUGUUAGGAUACCUGCUUCCAGGGAUAUUGCCACUAGGCACUUUAUUAUAACUUUGGAAUCAGAUGUAACUUAUUUCCAGCAUAUUCACUUAAGUGGGCAAGCCUCUUUUUUAAUUAAACUCAGUUCAUUCACCCCUCUUCGCUUCUUUUACCAUGCUGAGGAGCUGGUUCCAAACAGUCAUAACCUCCCUUGUAUCAGUUGAAAAAUGACACAAGUUGAGUACUGUGCAUAUACAGCACAUGUCUCACUAUUGCAUGAAAGGUAGCUCUUUCUUUUACUGUGCUUACAAACAAGCCUAGGUAUUUCUGCUCUAUGGGUCCCCUCUUUCCUUCCUUUAAAAAAAAAACAACUAUCUAAUAUCUUCCAGUAAUGUCUAUAAAAUGCUAACUGCAAAGAUCUGCACAAGUAUGUUAUCCAAGUUGAUAUUUUGGACCAUGUAGCAAAAAGAGCAAAUAAUUAUUAAUUGCAUUUUAUUACGUUGAGCCAAAGAAAACCAUUACUUCUCUUUGAAAAUAUGGUUCAAAGAGAAGUCAACAAUAAAAUUAUAUCUCAUA